This is a long non-coding RNA of Leucoraja erinaceus (little skate), 12003 nucleotides long. RefSeq lists it as uncharacterized. NCBI's taxonomy places the organism in Eukaryota, Metazoa, Chordata, Chondrichthyes, Rajiformes, Rajidae. The transcript is spliced from 6 exons. The record is from RefSeq and is a predicted model, not a curated record.
GACAGGUCGAGGGACCGGCGGGAGGACAGGUGGAGGGAGUCGUGAGGGGGGGGCGCCCUCGGGGCCGAGGUUGAGCAACCAGCACCGGCUGGUCAAUGUCCAGGUGCGCCGGCUUUAAACGGUCAAUCGACACGGCCUCUGGCCGGCCCCCCAUGUCCAGGACAAAAGUCGACUGCCCGUGUUCCAGCACCCGGAACGGGCCCUCGUACGGCCUCUGGAGUGGCGUCCGGUGGGCAUCACGGCGCAGGAAGGCGUAUGAGCAGUCCGUGAGGGCCAUUGGCACGUGUGGGCGAAAUGUCCCAUGGCGGGACGUCGGGACGGGUGCGAGCCUGCCAACUCGCUCGCGAAGGCGUUGAAGGGUGGAGGAGGGCGUUUUCUGCUGCUCCGGCGCCGACGGCACGAACUCCCCGGGCACUGUGAGUGUCGACCCGUACACCAGCUCCGCCAAUGAUGAGGCCAAGUCCUCUUUGGGAGCGGUCCGGAUGCCCAGCAUGACCCACGGCAACUCGUCCAUCCAGUCCGGGCCGGUGAGUCGUGCCUUCAAUGCCGCCUUCAGCUGCCGGUGGAUCCAGGUGAGGGUGUACGAUUGGGAAUUGGGUCAGGAAAUUGCAUAGUAAAUUGGUUUAUCAGUUUCUCUACCCAUUUGCCAAUUAGACCCCCCUCAACUAUAUACACCCAUCACUUGCCAGGCUUUGUCCAACCCCAUCUCUGUUUUUCAACUUACAGUUCCAGUCUGUCGAAGGAAUGUGUAGGAAGGAACUGCAGAUGCUGAUUUACACCAACGAUAGACACAGAAUGCUGGAGUAACACAGCAGCACUGUUCAGCACCCAACAUUCUCUGCCUACACAGCUGCUAUGAGCACCUCUGGAAACCAGCAUACUCAUUCGUGCAGAUACUGAUGACUCUCCUAUCUUUAUCAAUGAGAUUGCGAUUCUUAGUGUUAAAUGACUCCUGCUGCUGAAUUUUAACAUUAUUUAAAUGUGCUAAUUAACAGCAAUAGAAUAUUAAAGUCUUAACAUGAGAUGAAUACUGUGAUAGCUUAUUAAAAUUAUGUGAAUACAGAUGGUACAUUAAAAGUUGAUGUGAAAUAAAUCAAUUAUUGAACAUCUUCAAUAAAACCAUGUGUUCAGAAUAUUGGAGCAGGAGUAGGCCAUUUGCCCUUGUAUCAGCUCCGAAACCAAUUAAUUCUAUUCUACACACAAGAGACAAUUUACAGAAGCCAAUUAACCUACAAACCUGUACUUCAUUGAAGUGUGGGAGGAAACCGGAGCACUCGGGGAAAACCCAUGCCGUCACAGGGAGACCUCUACAGACAGCGUCUGCAGUCAGGAUCGAACGCGUGAAUCUGAUGCUGCGCCGCCGUGCUGCCUCCUUAUUCUCUAAAUAUCCAUAACUUAGUGAAUACUUAUUUUGAACAAAAUGAAUGACUGAACUUUCAUGCUCCUGAGGGCAUCAAGGAUUUGCAAGCCAGCUGAUGAUACAAAAAUGGAAGGAAUUGUGAGGAGAGAGGAGGAUUCCAGAGAUUGUCCAGAAAUCAUCUUAGUUCAGGCAUCCUACAUCUUACAGAGUGAUCUCUAGUCUUAUAUGAAUAAACCUGCCAAACCCUCUGAGAACUUUGUGAUGAGGUUAUCUAAUCUCUAAAGUAUACAGGCUUAGGUCAACAGCUGUUGGAAGAUCAUCAACAGUCAGUAGCCUCGGGACCCUAGGGAGGUAUCUGUAUUCACAACACCCUACUAGAUGGCAUGCGCUGGCAACGUACUAUUUCCACCCUAGAUAGCAUCAAACUAGCACUCUCAGGCUGGCCAUAGACAUAGAAACUGAAUUAGACCAUUCAGACCAUUGAGUUUGCUCCGCCAUGAGAUAGUGCCUGAUCUAUUUUCCCCCCUCAAUCCCACUCUCCUGCUUUCUCAUUACUUUUGACACCCAUACAAGAACCUAUCAUUCUCCACGUUGAAAAUACCAACGCAGUGAAAGAGAGGAUUUCACCUGCUGGGAACCCCUUGGUCUCCCAGUGUAUGACAUCCAUCUAUCACAUUCCCCGCUGCAGGAGGAUGGGCUGAGGGAAGCAUUGAAAGAGACACAAAGAAUUACAGCUGCUGGAUUCUUGAGCAAAAAUCAAAGUGCGAGACGAACUGAGCUUGCCAGGCAGCAUCUGUGGAGGGAACAGCCAGACAUAAAAACAGCUUCUUUUUUUUCCACGAGUAGUAGCUGUACACAAUAACCAAAAAUCUGUAGCCUCCUUUUGCUCUGGUAUUUUAUUUAAUUCAUGGUUAAUCAAUAAAGUUUUAUUAUUAAUGUUUUAUGGGUUAUUCCUCACUAUCACUGUAUGCCAUGUUGUCACUUGCGGGCGGAGCACCAAGGCAAAUUCCUUGUAUGUGAAUACUUGGCCAAUAAACAUUCAUUUAUUCAUUCAAAUGACUCCCUCCAGAACCUUCUAUGGCAAUGAAUUCUACAGAUUCACCACCAGCUGGCUAAAGACAUUCCUCCUCGUCUCCAUUCAAAAUGUAUGCCCUUUUAGUCUGAGGCUGUUAGAAUCUGGUCAGAUACAUCUGGUCGACCUAGACAUCCUCUGCGCAUCCGUCUCUCGACCAGGCCGACCAGAUCUAAUUGACCACAUUCUAGUUGAAGCUAGACAUAAAAUGCUGAAGUAACUCAGAGGGACAGGCAGCAUUCCGGAGAGAAGGAAUGGGUGACAUUUCAGGUCGAGACCCUUCCUCAGACUGAUCGCCAUCGGUCUGAAGAAGGGUCUUGACCCGAAAUGUCACCCAUUCAUUCUCUCCAGAGAUACUGCCGGGCCCGCUGAGUUUCUCCAACAUUUUGUGUCUAUUUUCGAUUUAAACCAGCAUCUGCACUUCCUCCCUACACAUUCUAGUGGAACCUGGAAGCGGGAAGGCCAAUGAGUGGCACACGUGCUGUGAUACACUCCCUGUCUGCUCCAUUCCACGCUCCAGCCCAGUUUCCACACAUCCCAUUGCACUGGCUCCAACUGCAUGCGCUGUUGCGUGCCUGCCAAUUCAGCAGAUGCCAAAUCCCCAGGCUCCUCCUGACUAGGGGGCAAUCAAUCACCGGCAAUACGCACUCACUGGCAGGAGAGGCUCAAGGCAUCCGGCCCGAACUGCAGAGCUGUGCAAAAAUACAGCCCGUAAAUGAUUGGAAUGUUAGUUCACUCUCACUUCCACGGUUCUAUUAGCAACCAUCGACACAUUCCUCCAGCUGAGAUCACAGCUCACAGCAGCUGCCUGCUGGGCACAGAUGGCUCCUGUACUCAGUCUGAAGAUGGGUCUUGACCCGAAACGCCACCCACUCAUCUCUCCAGACAUGCUGCCUGUCCCGCUGAGUUAAACUAGGAUUGUGUGUCUAUAUUCGGUGUAAACUAGCAUCUGCAGUUCCUUCCUACACAAGGCUCCUGUACUCCCCGCUGAUAUGGAAGGUGGAGUUGGAGUUUAUGUUUGUUCAGAGAUAUAGCACGGAAACAGGUCAUUCGGCCCCAUCGAUCAUCGAUCACCCGUUCGCACGUGUUCUACAGUAUGUCAUCCAACUUUCUCAUCCUCUCUCUAAACAAGGGUCAAUUUACAGAGGCUAACUAACCAGCAAACCCGCACAUCAAUGCGAUGUGGGAAGAAACUGAGGCAACCCAUUCACGCGAUUACAGGGAGAAGUGUGUAAAAGCACACCUCCAGAUUCAGGGACAUUUUUUUCCCAGCUGUUAUCUAGCAACUGAACCAUCCUACCACGACCAGAGAACAGUUCUGAACUAUCUCUCAUUAGAGACCCUUGGAUUAUCUUUGAUCGGGCUUUACUGGCGUUAUCUUCACUAAUCGUUAUUCAUGUUAUUCCCUUAAUCAUGUAUCUGUACAAGUGAUAGCUUGAUUGUUACCAUGUAUUGGCUUUCCACUGACUGGUUAGCACGCAACAAAAGCUUUUCACUGUACCUCGGUACAUGUGACAUUAAACUAAACUAAAUGUGCAAACUCCACACAGACAGCACCUGAGGUCAGGAUCCAACCCUGGUCUCUGGUGCUGUGAGGCAGCCGCUCUACCAGUUGCAUCAGUGUGCCAUUGGUGAUCUGAUCAUUGCUGCUGUUGUCAGCGGAUGGGAGUUUGAGUGCAUUCAUCGGCUUGAUCAGAGGCACUUUGAGGGGAGACAAAGCAUUGGAGCGGAUGUUACUUUAUAACUGGAUGGAAAUCAAUGGCAGGAAGCAGGCCAGCUACAGGCUGCACAGUGGCGGGCUUCCCCAGUAAUAUGAUUGUGAGUUUCUAUCCUGCCAUAACCCUUUCUCAAGAGUUAUUCUUAUUGAGAGAUACAGCAUGACGCAGGACGUUCAGCCCACUCAUUGUGCUUAUCAUUAAGCAUCCUUCUUUUAACACAAAUCAUAUCCUAAGCCUUUUAUUGUUCCAGUUCCCCACCAUCUCCCCUAUUCAAUGACACCUGCAUAUUCGGAACAAUUUACAGCCACCAAAUAACCUACCGAUCUGCAUGUCCUGGAGUUCCAAGCAAGGUCAUCUUAUUCAUUGAUAUGAUUGAAUUCCCAAAUACAAGUUCAUUUAACAUCAGUUAUGUGAAAAAUAGUUGGAAACUAUUCAAAGGUUGGUGCCUGGAAUGCAAUGCGCAAUGCUAGGAGUGGUGGUGGAGGCAGAUGCGAAAGUGGCUUUUAGGUAAGAGGCUUUUAGAUGAGCACAUGUAUGUGCAUGAGAAUGGAGCGAUAUAGAUUAUGUGCAGGCAGAGGAGAUUAGUUUAUCUUGGCAUUGUGUUAGGCACAGACAUUGUGGGCCCAAGGACUCGUUUCUGCGCUACAUUGUUCUAUUCAAAGAGGAUAACGCAAACUUUAAACACCGGUAUUCAGUGAUGGUUUUAAGGGAAGCAUGGGCCUGACAGAGUAGAUUGAAUUAUUUGAGUAGGUUGCAUGGUGGGUUGAUGAGGCCUGGGUAUUUAAUGUAAUUAUCUGGAUUUUAGCAAAGUUUUUGGCAAGGUUCAACAGGGCAGACUGAUGAGAAAGAUUUAGCGGCACGGGAUGCGAGUGAGAGUCAUGGGCUAGAGUGAGGAUUGGCUCUGGCAGGAUGCAGAGGGCAAUAGUCGACUAAUAUAGUGGGAUUGGAAGGUUGCACUGGGAUAUCUCAGGUCUAUGGUUCUUCUUCUUCUUCUUGCGUAUGUCGUGCACAGCCUAAAGUUGUACGAUAACUUGUUCUAUUUGAUCUUAUUUGAUUGUGCACGCCGGGUUGAUUGCAUUCGUCAAAACAGGGCAGACCACGUGAAGGUUGCAAUCUCCCACCCCAGGUCUAUGGUUCACUCCUAAUACAUGGCAAAGAUCGCGACGGAAAUAUCUGGGCCAUCAAGUGCGCAGAUGACUGCAUAGUCGAAGGGUUGCAGGAAAGCGUAAGACUGCAGGGUGAUGAAGGUGGGGUGGUCUUUUAUGCAGAACCAGUUGGUUAAUGGAGUUUAACUCCGGGGAGAGGUAACAUGGAAUCUGCACGUUUGAGUACCGAGUCCUGAGACUGCAUGGGAAGGAACGAAGGAGGAGCCGGCGUGGGGGGGACCACUGUGAGGAGGGGGAGAACGAAGGGGAACCUGCGUAGAUACUUUGUAACUUUGUCAGCACCGUUUGUGUGGUGACUAUUUGUGUACCUUGUGAAUUUCACUGUGACUUGUCACAUGUGACAAUAAAGUAUUCAUACAUUCAUUCAUUCUGCCUCUCACCCAAUGGGUUUUCACUGGGAGCUCCGGUUUCCCUCCUACAUCUCAAGUAUAUGUAGAUUGGUAGGUUAACAGGUCGGUGUACAUUGCCCCUUGGUUUGUGGUAGAAUUUGGAAGGAUUGAUUGACCAAUUCAAUGUAGGGGGAAUAAAAUAAUUUGUUUAAUGGAGUUUUAAAGCAAAAUGGGCGAAUGGUGGUCGAUGCAGACUCUUAAAACGUAGAAUACAGACAGCACAGUAACAGGCCCAAACAUCUGGAGUAACUCAGUGGGUCAGACAGCAUCUCUGGAGAAAAGGAAUAGGUGACAUUUCAGGUCAAGACCCUUCAUCUGAAGAAAUGUCUUGCCCCGAAAUGUCACCUUUUUCUUUUCUCCAGAGAUGCUGUCUGACCCGCUGAAUUACUCCAGCACGUUCCAAUCACUCACCACGCUCUGUGUGAAACUUGCGCUGCAAAUCAUCUUUAAGGGCCAGUCCCACUUAAGCGAUUUUUUGCGCGACUACAGGCGACUGCCGCAAAAUUUUCCAACACGUUGAAAAAUAUUCGGCGACAGUGGCGACAUUUGUUGUUGUAGGUUGUCGUAGAUUGAUGUAGGUGCUGUCAUAGGUUGUCGCCAGGUGUCGUAGGUGAAUUCCAUUAAAACUAGUCUCUGGUAGUCGCCUAAAGAGUCGCCUAAGUGGGCCAUGCCCAUUAAAUUUUGACACUCUCUCCUUAAAGAUAUGUAUGUCCUCUUUGAAAUUUCCACGCUGGAAAGGUUCUGAUUAUGUACCCUAUAUCUGCUGCUUAUAAUUUUAAAUACUCCUAUUAAAUCUCUCUCAACCUCCAACAAUCCAAGUUUUUACAACCUCUCUUUAAAACUCAUAGUACCUAAUCCAGUCAGCUUUCUGGCAAAACUCUCUGCACCCACUCCAAAGCUUCCACAUCCUUUCUGUAAUGAGGUGCCCAGAACUGCACACAAUACUUCAAAUGCGGCUUAACAAUCGUCCUAUAAAGCUACAACAUGGCUUUUGACUCUUAGCCUCAAUGCCCCGUCUGUUGAAGACAAGAAUACCAUAUGUAUUUUUAACCACUCUAUCUACAAGUCGCCACUUUCAGGAAGCAAUGAACUGAACCCCAAGAUCCCUCUGCAUGUCAAUGCUAUUAAAGGUCCUGGCAUUAACAGUAUACUUAUCCCUUCUUGACUCUGUGGGUCGAAGGGCCCAUUUUGAAGUUGUAUCUCUCUUUGACUGUGAUUCUAAUACAGAUUUAACAGUACGUGGGAAUAUAUAAUUAAUGCAGUAGACUAUUAUGAAAGACCAUCUUGUGUGAUAGCGACUUCAUCACACUGUCCCAAAAAGUAUUUUGAAACAUUUUUACCUCUGGCAUGCUAUAUUCACAACUAAAAGAAAGUUGCUAUAGAGACAUAAAUAAUUGCAGAUGCUGAAAUCUUGAGCAAAACACAAAGUGCUGGAGGAACUUAGCGGGUAAGGCGGCAUCAAUGCAGAGAAUGGACAGAUGACGUUUUGCGAUGGACUCUUCUGAUCCCUUGACUAGUCAGGCUCAAUUCACUUCUUCCCUUUACAUCUUAUCCACAUCAGCCAGACUGUGAAACUCACUGUCCGUAAUGUGUGGGGAGGAACUGCAGAUGCAGAUUUAAACUGAAGAUAGACACAAAAAGCUGGAGUAAGGCGGGACAGGCAGCAUAUCUGGAGAGGAAUGGGUGACGUUUUGGGUUGAGACCCUUCUUUAGUCUGGUUAGGGAUAAGGGAAACGAGAGAUAUAGAUGAUGAUGUAGAGAGAUAAAGAACAAUGAAUAAAAGAUAUUCAAAAAAGUAACGAUGAUAAAGGAAACAGGCCAAUGUUAGCUGUUUGUGGGGUGAAAAUAAGAAGCUAGUGCUACUUGAGUGGGGGAGGGAGAGGGGAAGGGGGAAUGCCAGGCUACCUGAAGUUAGAUAAAUCAACAGUCAUACCACUGGGCUGUAAGCUUCCGAAAUAUGAGAUGCUGUUCCUUCAAUUUGCAUUUAGCCUCCCUCUGACAAUGGAGGAGACCUAGGACAGAAAAGUCUGUGCGGGAAUGGGAAAGAGUAUUAAGUGUUUAGCUACCGGGAGAUCAGCUGAGUUCAGGCGGACUGAGUGAAGGUGUUCAGCGAAAUGAUCGCCCAGUCUACGUUUGGUUCCUUAGGGCAGUGGUUCUCAACCUUUUUUCAGUGAUGUACCCCCUGUGAAAUAUUUUUUCAGCCAAGUACCCCCUAACCAGCGCAAAGCAUUUUUGGUUGAAAAAAAAUGACUUAAAACAGAGCAGUGCCAUCAGUGUCUGAUUUAUUAAACUUUGGAACUGAUAAACACAUACAAAAUUCAAACAUUUGAAAAAAAACUAUUUCGAACAUUUUAAAUGUUAAUAAUCCAUGAUUAAAUUUAUUGCAAAUAUUUCUCAUCACUAAAAUGUAGUGAUUCAAACUAAUGUAGUGAAAACAAUGACCAUAUAACCAUUUAAAACUAUAAAAUGAACCAUUUAAAACUCCAUAAAUGUGCAAAACACUGCUCAUUUGUAGUGGUCUCUCUUGAACUAUUUGGAAAUAAAAAGAUAUAACUAAUAAAAAGAAAGAAAUAAUUAACUUAAUUAUAAAUAAAGAUUUGUGCACAUAAAAAUAAUUAUCAACAUAAAGUGUCCUCUUUUGGGAUCAUAGUAAAGAUCUGUGCUCAAAAAGAAAUCAUUAACUUAAUUUUAAAUAAAAGCAGAAAUUGCUAAAAAUAAAAAAUAAAAAUAUUUAUCAUCGGUUUGCUAGAUAUGAACUGUUUUGGGAGAGAAAAAUGCUCACGGCAGACCAAACGUGUUAAACAGAAAUUGGUCAGAUAUUGAGCUUUACACAGUAAGAAAUCAUGUGAAAUCAUCACUGACUUUAAUUUUAAAUGAAUGUACCUGCAUGUUAUACUGUUUAGUUUGGAGAUACAACCAGAUAGUCUACUGAGUUCGCACUGACCAGCGAUUCCUGUUACAGAUUUGAACAUGUUAUUUGGCGGCCAAUCAAUCGCUGUCUCUAAGGGAGUUGCAUCCAAUCACCAACCAGCUUGCUUUAAAAUGUCCGUCCAAUCAACAAAUAGGUCUCCUCCCGUCCAAUCAGCCGCUGUCUCCAAGGGCAUUGUGUCCAAUCACAUAAUGCAGUUUAAUGGUAAUUAGCAGCUACGGUAAAGGUUGGAAGCCGGUGGAGCUACUGACAGUCAAACGGGAGGGAGCAGGAGAGAUUCACACAGUGUAGAAUCCAUAGCACCUAGUGUACAAUUUCAUAAUAUAUACUAAAUAACUGGGCUGACAGACCUUGGCUGGGAAUCUGGGGCCCACCAAAAUUGUUCCCAAUUGGGCCCCGCACAUCCUAAGGCCGGCCCUGUAUACGUAGGCCUAUAUUUUAAAAUCUCACGUACCCCCUGGAGUGCCUUCACGUACCCCCAGGGGUACGCGUACCCCCAUUUGAGAACCACUGCCUUAGGGGACCAAAACUGCACACAAUACUCCAGGUGUGGUCUCACUAGGGCUCCAUACAACUCCAGAAGGACCUCUUUGCUCCUAUAGUCAGCUCCUCUUGUUAUAAAGGCCAACAUGCCAUUCGCUUUCUUCACCUCUUUGCAACAUUUCUAAGCAAAUAGAGGCGCUAGCGGGCUUUCUUCCUGAUUCAAUCUGCAGGUGUACGUGCCGGGGCCAGGACAGGUCAGAGACUCCCUCCAUCAACUCCCUCCACUGCCAACCCACCAGUGGAAACGGGUGCCUGGUGUCCCGGUUUCCCCUUUCUGUUGUCAACAAUAUCACUAUGUUUCCACAAGUGGGAGAAGCUCAGACUGGGGGAUGUUGUUAUAAGGUUAAGGGGCACCCAUCUAAAAAUGAAGUACAUCGGACCUUCUCACAAGGUAUGGGAUCUCUGGAAAUCUUUUCCCUGCCAAGUUGUAGGGGCCAGGACAGUAGUCAGUCUUCCUCUCAGCUGGGACUUUUCUGAAAAUGCAAAGUCCAAUAACCAUAUAUUUAUGCAAUAUUAUUCUAUUAAAUGUGAGCUCCAAUAAUCUAUAUUCUAUUCUAUGGGGAGAAGGCAGGAACGGGAUACUGAUUGUGGAUGAUCAACCAUGAUCACAGUGAAUGGUGGUGCAGGUUCAAAGGGCCAAAUGACCUGCUCCUGCACCAUUCAAGUAAUUGUCAUUUGACAUUGUCUAUUGUCUAUAAAAUGGAAUUCAGAAAAUUAAACAAUGCAUUGUUGCCAAAAGAUGGUCUGUAAUGUUCCGUUGCUGUGGUAGCAUUAGGUCAGUUAAAGAACAUCAUGGGACAGUUGCUUUUUUUGAACUGGGAGUGUGAGACGUUUCCACUUCUGUGUCUACUGUCCGAUGGUAACAGUGAGAAGACAGCAGGCCAAUCCGAUUUUAGCUAUUAGUUGAGAAAACUUAACCUGAACAACUUGUUAUUCUUAACAUCUCUAUAUUCUGAGACCUUUCAUGUAAAAGAUCUUUCAGGGGAAGUGUUGCGACUAUCCGCAGAAAGUAAAGCGUAAUCUGCGUGCCAUUGUAAUAUUUUUAAUAUAUUGCGACAUUUGGAUUGAUACAGCCACAUUAAAAUAAAAGCAUGUGGAGGUGCAUUUGUGCAAAUGAAAAGCCCCUUCCAUCGGCAGGAGCACUGUGCUGCCACAGGGCUACAGGUAAGAAUACGGUGGAUAAUUUAACUGAGCAGCUGGCUCAACAUGAGCAGCUAGUAGCACAGCUGAAAGACGACAUUCAGGACAAGGAGACGCAGCUUCACGUGAGAGAUCAACAGCUUAAGUUGCUGGAAGACUUUGUGAAAAGUACGAGGAACUGCUGGAAACGACUCAUCAUGUGGAAGUGCUGCAGAUAAAGCUCGAUGAGAAGAAUCAGGAGCUAGCGGAGUUGGUUGAAGAUUUAAGAAAGGUUGAGAUCGACAAUGAAAAUGGCAAGGACAAGCUUUUGGCAGAAAAGCACGCCAUGCGAACCAAGGUCAGAGAUCUGAUGGAAAAUCACAAGGGAUGUUUAAAAAUUCUCAAAUCAAAACACAGCGCUCAGGUCCGUAAAAUCCGAGAGAAACAUGCCCAAGAAACAUCACAAAAAGAUCAGUGCUGUUUAGAACUUCAUAAAGAUCUCCAACUUUUAAGACCUCAUACCAAGUUCUGUGCACCACUUGCCGACCAAGCAAUUGGUUCGUUAAAUUAUUUCACUGAACGGAAGAUUAAAGAACUGGAAGGUAAUUACUCAAAGUUGACCUGUUAAUAUUUUUGGCCAUAAACGUUCCUACCGCAGAUUUGUACAUCUGUCGGCUCGUGGUAGGGAGUAGGUUUGCCUUAAAAUAUUCUAGCAUUAGAGCAAUGGAGUGGAUUUUAUGACAAACCAUCACUUCGUUUUUGUUUUGCCGUGUAAUUAUCUCAUCCCUGUAACCUCAUGAGAUUUUGUGUAUGCAAAUUGGUUGCUGUAAUUCCUAUAUUUUUUCACUGAUCACACUUAAAAAUAUACUUAAUUGGUUGGUAAAUGGGUUGGUACAUUCAGUGAUCAGGAAAAGUAGCGUGUAAUCUAUGUUUUUUUCACUCGGGUAUUCUGGUCAGAUUCCUUGAUCAGAAGAUAGUGAUGUUUAAAGGAUUCAAGAAAAGAAUUCCUUGAGAAGCAUUUGUGAGAGUCUGCCAAAUGGCUGACAGGAACACACAGAUUCGUACAGAUGCUUUUAAAAACAUUCUCUUCUUGAAUCCUUUAAACAUCGCUAUCACUGAAUUUUAAUUUUGAGAGGAUGCUGAUAGUUAAAACAUGACAUUGUGAAGGGUGGCCUGGUGGCGCAGCGGUGGAGUUGCUGCCUUUCAGCGCCAGAGACCUGGGUUUGAUCCUGACUGUGGUGCUUGUCUGUACGGAGUUUGUAUGUUCUCCCUGUGGGUUUUCGUCCAGGUAUCCUCACACUCCAAAGACAUACAGGUUUGUAGGUUAAUUGACUUGGGUUAAUGGUAAAUUAUCCCUAGUUUGUGUAUGAUAGUGUUAGUGUGGAUGUGUAAGGUCAGAACAAAGGCUUUCAGUACAGCCGAGCACUGCCAUCUGCUGGCCACCCUCAAAACUGCCCACUGUUUUGACCGGCUAAUAUAUCACCCAUCCCCCAGCUUGAGCUGCAUCCCCCACAGCACUGGGGCAACCUUCACAUCAAUGGCUGCAGCGCUUCACAAGGUGGCAGCUCUACAGCUUGAGGGGCUAGUGAUGGGCAACGAGUGCCACCCUGUCACUGAUACGCAGCUCUGGAAACUCAAAUUGAAAAUACUCAGGUAGGUUCAGCUCAGCGCACUCUCCCAGCACCCUGUUUACAACCACCACAUCAC